UGUCCGGAAUUAUUGGGCGUAAAGGGCUCGUAGGCGGUUUGUCGCGUCGGGAGUGAAAACACCAGGCUUAACUUGGUGCCUGCUUCCGAUACGGGCAGACUGGAGGCAUGCAGGGGAGAACGGAAUUCCUGGUGUAGCGGUGAAAUGCGCAGAUAUCAGGAGGAACACCGGUGGCGAAGGCGGUUCUCUGGGCAUGUCCUGACGCUGAGGAACGAAAGUGUGGGGAGCGAACAGGAUUAGAUACCCUGGUAGUCCACACCGUAAACGUUGGGCGCUAGGUGUGGGGCCUCGUUUGUGGGUUCCGUGCCGCAGCUAACGCAUUAAGCGCCCCGCCUGGGGAGUACGGCCGCAAGGCUAAAACUCAAAGGAAUUGACGGGGGCCCGCACAAGCGGCGGAGCAUGCGGAUUAAUUCGAUGCAACGCGAAGAACCUUACCUGGGUUUGACAUAGAGGAUGCGCCGGCAGAGAUGUCGGUUCCGUAAGGGUUCUCUACAGGUGGUGCAUGGCUGUCGUCAGCUCGUGUCGUGAGAUGCUGGGUUAAGUCCCGCAACGAGCGCAACCCUCGUUCUAUGUUGCCAGCACGCGCCUUCGGGUGUGGUGGGGACUCAUGGGAGACUGCCGGGGUCAACUCGGAGGAAGGUGGGGAUGACGUCAAGUCAUCAUGCCCCUUAUGUCCAGGGCUUCACGCAUGCUACAAUGGCCGGUACAAAGGGUUGCGAUGCCGUGAGGUGGAGCGAAUCCCAAAAAGCCGGUCUCAGUUCGGAUUGGGGUCUGCAACUCGACCCCAUGAAGUCGGAGUCGCUAGUAAUCGCAGAUCAGCAACGCUGCGGUGAUACGUUCCCGG
This 844-nucleotide ribosomal RNA is filed under the name uncultured bacterium. Its description in RNAcentral is "bacterial SSU rRNA". It matches the Rfam family "Bacterial small subunit ribosomal RNA", at positions 542 to 1377 of the family's 1533-position model. The record is from RNAcentral.